UGCAAGUCGAGCGGCAGCGCGGGGCAACCUGGCGGCGAGCGGCGAACGGGUGAGUAAUGCAUCGGAACAUGUCCAUUCGUGGGGGAUAGCCCGGCGAAAGCCGGAUUAAUACCGCAUACGCCCUUAGGGGGAAAGUGGGGGACCGCAAGGCCUCACGCGAUUGGGUUGGCCGAUGUCCGAUUAGCUAGUUGGCGGGGUAAAGGCCCACCAAGGCGAUGAUCGGUAGCUGGUCUGAGAGGAUGAUCAGCCACACUGGGACUGAGACACGGCCCAGACUCCUACGGGAGGCAGCAGUGGGGAAUUUUGGACAAUGGGGGCAACCCUGGUCCAGCCAUUCCGCGUGAGUGAAGAAGGCCUUCGGGUUGUAAAGCUCUUUUGUCCGGAACGAAACGGUGAGCGUGAAUAUCGCUUGCUACUGACGGUACCGGAAGAAUAAGCACCGGCUAACUACGUGCCAGCAGCCGCGGUAAUACGUAGGGUGCGAGCGUUAAUCGGAAUUACUGGGCGUAAAGCGUGCGCAGGCGGUUUUGUAAGCCAGAUGUGAAAGCCCCGGGCUUAACCUGGGAAUGGCAUUUGGGACUGCGAGGCUUGAGUGCGGCAGAGGAGACUGGAAUUCCUGGUGUAGCAGUGAAAUGCGUAGAUAUCAGGAGGAAUACCGAUGGCGAAGGCAGGUCUCUGGGCUGACACUGACGCUCAUGCACGAAAGCGUGGGGAGCAAACAGGAUUAGAUACCCUGGUAGUCCACGCCCUAAACGAUGUCGACUGGUUGUUGGGGGUUUGACACUCUCAGUAACGAAGCUAACGCGUGAAGUCGACCGCCUGGGGAGUACGGCCGCAAGGUUAAAACUCAAAGGAAUUGACGGGGACCCGCACAAGCGGUGGAUUAUGUGGAUUAAUUCGAUGCAACGCGAAAAACCUUACCUA
This 924-nucleotide ribosomal RNA is filed under the name uncultured beta proteobacterium. RNAcentral describes it as "bacterial SSU rRNA". It matches the Rfam family "Bacterial small subunit ribosomal RNA", at positions 56 to 977 of the family's 1533-position model. Lineage: Bacteria; Pseudomonadati; Pseudomonadota; Betaproteobacteria. The record is from RNAcentral.